Molecule: ribosomal RNA, 406 nt
Filed under: Pristimantis latro
Lineage: Eukaryota; Metazoa; Chordata; Amphibia; Anura; Strabomantidae
Description: partial large subunit ribosomal RNA
Rfam family: Bacterial large subunit ribosomal RNA
Source: RNAcentral
CUUGACCCCAUAAGAGGUCCAGCCUGCCCAGUGACCUAGUUCAACGGCCGCGGUACCCUAACCGUGCGAAGGUAGCGUAAUCACUUGUCUUCUAAAUAAAGACUAGUAUGAAAGACAUCACGAGAACUUGACUGUCUCCCUUUUCCAAUCAGUGAACCUAAUCUCCCCGUGAAGAAGCGGGAAUUUAUAAAUAAGACGAGAAGACCCUAUGGAGCUUUAAACACUAAUCACCUGCCCCAUUCAUUUAAUACUCAGGCUCCUAAACCAACGCACCAUGAUUAUGUGUUUUCGGUUGGGGUGACCGCGGAAAACAAUACAACCUCCGCAAUGAAACUUUAAACUAUAAGCCACAACUUUAAGUAUCAACAAAUUGACAUCCAUUGACCCAAUAUAUUGAUUAAUGAAC